GUGAAAGAUGAGGGGAAAGAAGUGCGCGUAAAAAACUGAAAGCCUCUGCACUCACAUCAAUGCCCUCAGCUGUAGGAUUGUACGGAGGAAGAACAAGUAAACUUUUCUCAUUGGAUCGCGCCUCUCUCUCCUGUCCGUCAUCAAUUAUGUUUGAGUCUGCUGUGAGCCGUAAUCAAGCUGCAGAUCCGCCUCAGCUGUUGCAGGAAGACCCGGCCCCUCCACCGCUGCAUCACCGUUUCUAUGGGACCCGGGCAGCCAAUGACAUUGUCACACCUGCUGUGAGAGCCAACAAGGACAGAAGGAGGGCGGAGAAGCCUCUACGUCUGCUGGAAAUCAAUGAACCACUGCACCGCUGAUACACGCAUCAAACAUACCCCUGAUUGUUUUAUUGGUAGAAGGUUUAUUUAAAUGUUAAAAAUGUCAUUUUUAUCACAGAAAUAAGUGAAUUUCCACUAAAGUGAGUUUAGUAAUUGCAGAGUGGAGACAGCAGACAACCUUAAUUACAAUUUAAUGCUUUGCUUUCAUUUGAUGUCCCAGCUGCUCUCCAAAGGAGUUUCACAGCUGUCAUUUUCCAUCAGCUCUUUGUAGUAGACAAAGUUAUUA
Long non-coding RNA from Cottoperca gobio, 603 nucleotides. RefSeq lists it as uncharacterized. The transcript has 3 exons. The record is from RefSeq and is a predicted model, not a curated record. NCBI's taxonomy places the organism in Eukaryota, Metazoa, Chordata, Actinopteri, Perciformes, Bovichtidae.